RNAcentral lists this ribosomal RNA (235 nucleotides) under uncultured Glomus. RNAcentral's name for it is "partial 18S ribosomal RNA". The stretch from base 46 to 235 matches the Rfam family "Eukaryotic small subunit ribosomal RNA", at positions 693 to 884 of the family's 1831-position model. Lineage: Eukaryota; Fungi; Glomeromycota; Glomeromycetes; Glomerales; Glomeraceae. The record is from RNAcentral.
AGAUCAAAUUGUUGGUCGUGCCUUGGUACGUACUGACAUUAUUGAUUUCUCCCUUCUGAAGAACCAUGAUGUCAUUAAUUUGGUGUCUUGGGGAAUCAGGACUGUUACUUUGAAAAAAUUAGAGUGUUUAAAGCAAGCUCGCGCUUGAAUACAUUAGCAUGGAAUAAUGAAAUAGGACGUUUAAUUCUAUUUUGUUGGUUUCUAGGAUUGACGUAAUGAUUAAUAGGGAUAGUUG